AGUGAACGCUGGCGGUAGGCCUAACACAUGCAAGUCGAACGGCAGCACAGUAAGAGCUUGCUCUUACGGGUGGCGAGUGGCGGACGGGUGAGGAAUACAUCGGAAUCUACUUUUUCGUGGGGGAUAACGUAGGGAAACUUACGCUAAUACCGCAUACGACCUACGGGUGAAAGCAGGGGAUCUUCGGACCUUGCGCGAUUGAAUGAGCCGAUGUCGGAUUAGCUAGUUGGCGGGGUAAAGGCCCACCAAGGCGACGAUCCGUAGCUGGUCUGAGAGGAUUAUCAGCCACACUGGAACUGAGACACGGUCCAGACUCCUACGGGAGGCAGCAGUGGGGAAUAUUGGACAAUGGGCGCAAGCCUGAUCCAGCCAUACUGCGUGGGUGAAGAAGGCCUUCGGGUUGUAAAGCCCUUUUGUUGGGAAAGAAAAGCAGCAGGUUAAUACCCCGCUGUUCUGACGGUACCCAAAGAAUAAGCACCGGCUAACUUCGUG
RNAcentral lists this ribosomal RNA (492 nucleotides) under uncultured bacterium. Its description in RNAcentral is "partial 16S ribosomal RNA". It matches the Rfam family "Bacterial small subunit ribosomal RNA", at positions 29 to 507 of the family's 1533-position model. The record is from RNAcentral.